GCACCUCUGGUGGUCCCCUUGCUUGCACCCCUGCCCCAGCCUGCGCCCUUGUUCCCCUUCUGCCGUUUAUUUCCAACCUUGCGCCCCGACCUCGCACCCAGGUCGUCGUCAUCACCGCCACCCCGCCUGCGCUUGCCAGCUGCGCCCUUAGCUGCUCUUGGCACCUCGCCGACCCACUCCUUGAAUGCAUGGUAGUUGGUGGUAUCCUUGUCCUGUGGUGGGGGGGGCAGCAACACCCAGUGCUUACAUUCAAGGUAAAAUAUCAGGGUAAGACCCAACAAGCUGCCCUGACAUUGAAAGUUGACAUAACCCAUCAGCACCCCUCGACCUUGUUAAACAUGCUCCCCAGGUUCCAAAAGGGUUACAAGGCAGCCCUGGUUGCAAGCAGUCUGGAAACGAGCAAACACUCCUCACCUGAAUUGCAUCGUUCUCUCCAGACACCAAUGCCUCCUCGGCUCCACCGCCUGUGUUGCUGUCCACGCGCCCUGUCCCGCGCCCAGUCCUCCCGCCACUGCUGCGUCCACACCCUCGACCACCACGCGUGCCAGCAGCGGUUCCGGAUCGCCAAGGGGUCUCACCACCAGCAAGUGCUCGUCAAGGAGUCUCACCACCACUUGCAGAGUUCGUGCCUACUCCUACGGAUGAAACCCCCGAUGCAUGACAUGUACCGGCACCUAUUGGGAUUGGUCUGUCCCAUCCUGCCUGGGGCCGACCUGGUGUGUGCACCCCCAAGUGCUCAUCACUGCUGCCAUGUUACUGCUCACUUCCACCACUGUCACUGCUGCCACUGCCACUGCUGCUGCUGCUAGCUUCGCUAUAUUUGCCCGGGUCCUCCAAGCUGGACUCCUCCCCAGCGCCAGCGGCUAGGACCUCUUCCUCACCAGCAUCCGACCCACCCUCCGAGCUACCCUCCUCUGUCUGCCCCCUCCACCCUCCCUUGCCUGCGCCGCCCUUCCCCGCACCUCUGGUGGUCCCCUUGCUUGCACCCCUGCCCCGGCCUGCGCCCUUGUUCCCCUUCUGCCGUUUAUUUCCAACCUUGCGCCCCCACCUCGUACCCAGGUCGUCAUCAUCACCGCCACCCCGCCUGCGCUUGCCAGCUGCGCCCUUAGCCACUCUUGGCACCUCGCUGACCCACUCCUUGGACGCAUCGUAGUUGGUGGUAUCCUCGUCCUGUGGUGGGGGGGCAGCAACACCCAGUGCUUACGUUCAAGGUAAAAUAUCAGGG
RNAcentral lists this long non-coding RNA (1225 nucleotides) under Volvox carteri. RNAcentral's name for it is "long non-coding RNA (VCAR_LNC003868)". The record is from RNAcentral. Lineage: Eukaryota; Viridiplantae; Chlorophyta; Chlorophyceae; Chlamydomonadales; Volvocaceae.